GACAGCCAGGAUGUUGGCUUAGAAGCAGCCAUCAUUUAAAGAAAGCGUAAUAGCUCACUGGUCGAGUCGGCCUGCGCGGAAGAUGUAACGGGGCUAAACCAUGCACCGAAGCUGCGGCAGCGACACUGUGUGUUGUUGGGUAGGGGAGCGUUCUGUAAGCCUGUGAAGGUGUGCUGUGAGGCAUGCUGGAGGUAUCAGAAGUGCGAAUGCUGACAUAAGUAACGAUAAAGCGGGUGAAAAGCCCGCUCGCCGGAAGACCAAGGGUUCCUGUCCAACGUUAAUCGGGGCAGG
Molecule: ribosomal RNA, 291 nt
Filed under: Escherichia coli
Lineage: Bacteria; Pseudomonadati; Pseudomonadota; Gammaproteobacteria; Enterobacterales; Enterobacteriaceae
Description: partial 23S ribosomal RNA
Rfam family: Bacterial large subunit ribosomal RNA
Source: RNAcentral